Molecule: long non-coding RNA, 229 nt
Organism: Juglans microcarpa x Juglans regia
Lineage: Eukaryota; Viridiplantae; Streptophyta; Magnoliopsida; Fagales; Juglandaceae
Exons: 2
Source: RefSeq, a predicted model, not a curated record
GUUUGCUCCCUGGCUUCAAUCCCACAUUGGUGGGGAAUGAGGGAAGAGCAAAGGCCAAGGCCUAUAAAAGGAGGGUUAACCUCCUUGAUUAAGUGCACCAAGUUAUAAGCUUAGCUAGUAACUUGUGACUCUAGUAAAAUUCAUCUGUUGUCCUUUUGUAAGAAGAGGAAGAGGUGAGAGUCAAAGUUUUGCAAGUAGGGAAGCUUUGUGGGUGUCCUUGGGGUGAGGA